UCCUCGAUGGUCUAACGGUCAUGAUUUCCGCUUGUCACUCCUGCCAAGGAACAAGCGCGGGAGACCUGGGUUCGACUCCCAGUCGGGGAG
Molecule: transfer RNA, 90 nt
Filed under: Aspergillus aculeatus ATCC 16872
Lineage: Eukaryota; Fungi; Ascomycota; Eurotiomycetes; Eurotiales; Aspergillaceae
Also listed under: 3 other names
Rfam family: tRNA
About the family: Transfer RNA (tRNA) molecules are approximately 80 nucleotides in length.
Source: Rfam by way of RNAcentral